UUCACAACCAAAGGCUCUUUUAAGAGGGUGCUGUUCCCUAGCAACACCAUAGACUACACUAUGCUCAACCAAAGGCUCUUUUAAGAGGGUGCUGUUCCCUGGCAACACCAUAGACUACACUAUGCACAACCAAAGGCUCUUUUAAGAGGGUGCUGUUCCCUGGCAACACCAUAGACUACACUAUGCACAACCAAAGGCUCUUUUAAGAGGGUGCUGUUCCCUGGCAACACCAUAGACUACACUAUGCACAACCAAAGGCUCUUUUAAGAGCCAUUCACAUUGCAAUAGGAGUAUUCUUCCAUUUACUUAGCUAUGUCAACUGCAGUUUUUCAAUUCAUAGUUUCUCUCCCUUUGAUUUCUACUUCUCAGGUGAGGGUGCUGUUUAGGUAAGGGUGUGAUGUCUGUGCAAAAACAAAACAGGCUAUUUUAAAUCACCCAUAUUGAAAAAAUGUAGAACAAUUAGACACCCUAUAACCCACACCUACACACUCGUGUAUCAAUCUGAUUGAUGGAUUGUGUUGUGCAGUAAGCAGGUUCAGGUGUAUAACUGUGGCUCCUUCCACCUUCAAAGAAUAGGCAAGAGGGCCAACCAUGGAGAAUAGUAAGACACUUCAUUAUUUCUAUAACUACACUAUAUUGUUUGUCCUGCAGCCACUUAGUGUGGUGUGGACACCAGGUGAGGCCACACACAGAUUCCUGUUGAACACUGUGGCUUUAACUACCUUUCUCAAUAACAGUCUCUCUCCUUCACUUCAUCCCUCUCUCCCCUUCUCCCUAAAUCCUCUAGGUUAUAUCAGCUGUGUCGGUGAACCCCUCCUGCAUCUGAACUGGCUGCAUAGAGGGCACAGCAUGGUCAGAGAUAUGUUUUGAUGUGAGAGGAUGCCAACCCCCAGUCCCAUCAUCGCCACCUCACCUGCUUUUAAGAUAACCUUUGGGCCGACUAGAGACACUGUUAUGUAAUUGUGAUGAACUGAGAGAAUAUUUAUGUAGCACUGUGAUACAUUAAUCAUGUGCUGCCUUCCCUGCUCCUAUGUGCUUACCUCUUUCCCUUUCUGUCUUUUACACCUCUCUCUCCACCUCCUCUUUCUUCCUCUGUUUUUAUAAUUCACAACAGAUUGAAGGACAGAUUGAACUUGUAUUUAUAACACUUGGAUAAUGAGUUUUUCAAUCAAGCGUUUCACAUUCUCUACUGGUUGAAAUUAAGUGUAAUGUGAUGAAAUACUCCACCUAUCCUGUGUUUAUCAGAUCAAUGCAGAUGGAGGGCAUUAGAUGUUGAGAGGAACCGGUGUUGGAGUAUUUACAUGAUGCAUAGGAAGUGUAGUGUUCUGUUUUUAACAUUAUAUUUCUGUAUAUAUGAAUUAACUAGUUAAAUCCUGUUUCUAGUCUAUUAGUUACAUGUGUAACCAUUGAUGUCCCAGGACCAAGAUUGAUAAACACUGUUGAAGUGUAUAAUUGUAAUUCAUACAUGCAGACAGCGUCAUUCAAAGACUGGAAUUUGAUACUCCUGGUAUUGGAUGACUGAAAAAUAAUCUCAAAGACAUUCAUACCUAAACUGCCCCUUUAUUUGCCAAGGUACAGUACAUGAUCAGUGAAUAUAUUAAAUGUACAGGCUACAAUGUGGGGAUCUCAUGCAUGGUAAUAACUACAUGUAUAUACGACUUGCAUCCUUGGCACAACAUGAUAUUAUAUUCUACUCAAUCCA
Salvelinus fontinalis (brook trout) is the source of this 1702-nucleotide long non-coding RNA. RefSeq lists it as uncharacterized. The transcript has 2 exons. Lineage: Eukaryota; Metazoa; Chordata; Actinopteri; Salmoniformes; Salmonidae. The record is from RefSeq and is a predicted model, not a curated record.